GGACCACCUAGCAAAUCAAUCAGGGCCAGAGUCUCAAUAUCUUCGGAGGCUACAAAAAUCGAUAAGCAUAAAGGGGCAAAUGAUGAUGGUGUUCUUUUCAUGCCAUUUGUGUCUUCUGGGCCAACUUCCUAAAUUGUACCUCGCAAUUUACCACUGUUGUUCCUCCUCAAAUCAGCGCCACCAACAAUAUAUAUAACUUGCAAGCAAAUCACACAACAACAAAGACAUGAUAAGAUAGAGAAACAAGGCUCAAUAGAAAGAAACCCCAGAGCUAAAGACGGGUAAAUACAAACUGCCAAAAACCCUUCCUGCCACGUCAGCAACAGGAUGCCGCGCGUGGGCUCGCUAACUGAAUUUCUGCCACUGGCAAGCUUCAUAGGAGACAAUACCCCAAUCUCUCGCUCUCCCAUUCUCUCUCGCUCUGCCUCUCUCUGUCUCUCUAUUCAUAUCUACAAUGACAAAAGGGAUUCCCUGAAUUCCAUUUUUCUUUUAUUAUUCAUCUCACAGAAAUCUCAUUUUUCAUGGAUCCGAGGGCGGAUCUUUGCGUGCUGAGUUGAAACCACAAACAGUCUGUCCCCUGUAAGCUGGUUCCAGGUUUUAACUUCUCUGCCUGUAAUUUCUUAUCCAUUCCUUAGCAUUUUUAAUCCCAUUCCGAUUAUAUUUAGUCUUCCAGAAUUAUCUUUUUUCUGUUUCAGAAUUGGAAUUUCAGAAAAUUAAGAUCAAUCGAUCAAAAUCUGCACUUCUUCCUUAUCUUCCUUCAAAUGCAAUUAUUCCCUACAUUAUUGUUCCUAGAGCUCUCAAAUACCCGUCAAAUUCUUAAAAGUUAGUGAAUUUCUCGUUUUAAAUCGAUUGAUAUCACAAGUCGAUAAUCAUAAAAUGGCUGAACUAGAGCAAUCAACGAAACCUGUUUUCCAAAGACCUCCGGGUUACAGAGACCCGAGCAAUCCGGUCCCGAGACCGCCACUUCGAAAAGGAGUCCUGCCACCUUCAUUCCAGCUGAGGGGCAAUCGCAAAAUCUGUAGUAGUCGUCUAUGCUGUUUUAUCCUCUGCAUUACCUUCGCAACAAUCUUAUUCUUCCUAAGAUUGCUGCUUGCGUUUGUCUACCUCUGGUUCGAUCCAAAACUUCCCGUUUUCCACGUCCAGUCAUUUAAGAUCCCUAUUUUUAAUGUCAGUGCUAAACCCGACGGCACCUAUCUAAAUGCGGCGACGGUGGCGAGAGUGGAGGUUAAGAACCCAAACUCUAGACUAGCGCAUCGAUACAGUGUGUACCAGGUGGACGUGACACUGGGGAAUGAUCAGGGGACUGAGUUGGGAUCCACGACUCUGCCAGGGUUCACUCAUGCUAAAAGGAGCACUACGAGUCUUAAGAUUGAGACUCAACUGAAGAACCAGCUGAUCGACGAUGGGACAGGGUCAAGGCUCAAGACUCGGUAUAAAAGCAGGAAUUUGGUGGUGAACGUGAGGGUGAAGACCAGUGUGGGUUUGGGCGUCGUGAAAGGAUUCAAGAUAGGGAUGUUAGCGGUGGCUGUCUUGUGUGAUGGUAUAACGUUGAAGGAGGUUGACGGUGGUCAUAUGCCCAGAUGUACUAUUCGCACUCUCAAAUGGUAAGAAUUACGAUUCUCUCAUGUUUUACGACUUCAUUGCUCUGUUACUGUUACUGUAUGUGUGCUCUAGUUAAGACCAUUAGCAACUUUGAAAUAUGCCAUCUUAAAAGAAUAGGUGAAUUGACGCUUCUGAUUUUAGAUUGUUGCUUUGACUGCAUGGUCAAUUUAAGCUGACUGGUUUUUUGUUUCCUUUUUGUGCAUGGAGGUUGGUGGUAAAAAAGAAGAAUGGUGAUACAAUUGUAAUCAUUUUUAUUAAAAAAAAAAAAUGACUGUAAUAUUUACAUACAAUAUUCUUUACUUUAAUGUUGGGGAGGGUAAGGAGACGGGAGAUUUGGGGGUGUCAUAGCAUCGACAACAGUCAAACGUGGGUCCAUGUCUACACUUUGGUUCCGAUUAUGAUGUAAUUGUAAUGAGGAUACAAACGUAAACUUAAUUGUUUGUUUAAUUUUAGUGGUUGAUGGGGUUUAUUUUAUACCACAUUUCUUAUCUAUUUGAUAUAUUUUUUUUCUGGUGAAGAAUGAAGAAUCUUAUCGGAG
RNAcentral lists this unclassified non-coding RNA (2140 nucleotides) under Hevea brasiliensis (rubber tree). The record is from RNAcentral. Lineage: Eukaryota; Viridiplantae; Streptophyta; Magnoliopsida; Malpighiales; Euphorbiaceae.